GUCUGUGAGCCCCAGGCCCCAUGAGGUCCAGCUGACUUAGAUAAGCUCUGUGCUGACCCAGAGGAGCGGGAGGUUGGGUACCAGCAACAGCUUGGGGAUAGCAUAAACCUUUGAGAUGUUGUACAGAGAGGUAUAUCAGAAAUAAGAACUAAAGUAGGUUUGAGAAUUUCCAGAUCAAGUAGGCAAUAAUGGCCUUCAGAGAUCCAAAACCAGAAUUCGUGUCUUUUAUUCUGUGAGAGUCAAAUGAGAAGGGGAGAGACUUCUGGGACAUAGACAGGGAAAAGGCUUCAGGAAGGAGGAUGAACCCUGAUGAGAAGCCAGGCCUAUGUGAAGGGGUGGCCAG
This 343-nucleotide long non-coding RNA is filed under the name Homo sapiens (human). RNAcentral describes it as "non-protein coding lnc-CD244-1:1". Lineage: Eukaryota; Metazoa; Chordata; Mammalia; Primates; Hominidae. The record is from RNAcentral.